GGUUAACUGGUCUAGGAACAGUGGGUUAACUGGCCUAGGAACAGUGGGUUAACUGGUCUAGGAACAGUGGGUUAACUGGCCUAGGAACAGUGGGUUAACUGGCCUAGGAACAGUGGGUUAACUGCCUGUUCAGGGGCAGAACGACAGAUUUGAACCUUGUCAGCUCUGGGAUUUGAACUUGCAACCUUUCAGUUACUAGUCCAACACUCUAACCAGUAGGCUACCCUUACCCAGAAAGACUCACAGCUGUAAUCGCUGCCAAAGGUGCUUCUACAAAGUAUUGACUCAGGGGUGUGAAUACUUAUGUAAAUGAGAUAUUUCUGUAUUUCAUUGUCUUUUUUAAAUCAUUUUUAAUAAUUCUCCCCAAUUUCAUGGUAUCCAAUUGGUAGUUACAGUCUGGUCUCAUUGCUGGUUGAGAGGCGAAGGUCGAGAGCCGUGCGAAACACGACCCAACAAAGCCACACUGCUUCUUGACACAACGCCCGCUUAACCCGGAAGCCAGCCACACCAAUGUGUCAUAGGAAACACUGUUCACCUGGAGACCGUGUCAGCAUGCAUGCGCCUGGCUCGCCACAAGAGUUGCUAGAGCGCGAUGGGACAAGGACAUCCCCUAACCCGGACGAUGUUGGGCCAAUUGUGCCCCAUGGGUCUCCCAGUCAUGGCCGGCUGCGACAGAGCCUGGACUCGAACCAGGAUCUCUAGUGGCACAGCUAGCACUGCAAUAAAGUGCCUUAAACCAUUCAGCCACUGCCCCACCCCGGAGGACCAGUAUUUCAUUUUCAAUACAUUUGCAACAAUUUCUAAAAACAUGUUUUCACUUUGUUAUUAUGGGGUAUUGUGUGCAGAUGAAUUCAGCCUGAAUUCAGGCUGUACCACAACAAAAUGUGGAAUAAGUCAAGGGGUGUCAAUACAUUCUAAAAGGUACAUGUUGUCAUGGGGAAGGUUGUAUGUACACAAUUACUUUUAUACAGCACAAUAAUGCCACCAUCAAAGAUCCAAAGUCACAUAUAGAAUUGUACAUAAAAGUAUAAAGUACAUAAACAUGUAAUUACAUGCAAUAACCUUUCUCCAUAACUGUCACUUUGAUCUAUAAUGUGUUGUUUAAAUACAGAUUAUGAAAGCCAUUCUGUAAAUACCCCAGAUUGGUUCUUUAAAGAUCAGGGGGGACAACAAGAGAUGAACCAGUAUGGUAUGCCUUAUAAUGUCGCUCACCUUGUUGUUUAAAGAUGAGGAAGCUUGUGGUAACCAUGGCAACAAAGGCCAGGCCUGCUAGCAAAGAAGCAAGGGCAGCCAGCAUGGACAUCCCUCCUUGAAAACACAACAGGAAUUCCCCUGAUUCACCUGCUUCAUAACUAGUUAAACAAGGGACUAAAGAAAGGGAACAAUCUGUGGAUGUUGUGGCGUGUAGGCCUGAGGGUGUUUGAGUUGUUAUGCCUUUUGUUACACCAAACACAAGCUUCACAUUCAUACAUGCAGUGUAUAGGCAUGUUAUUAUUACUCUUUAUUUUUAUUCGUUAUUCACUGUGUAUUUAUUCUAGAGGUGGUACCAAGUCACUAUUAUUUGAGUCACAAGCAGGUCUCAACUCACAAGGUCCAAGUCUUUAGUUGAGUCCCAAGUAGAACGGUUCGAGUCAAGUCCAAGUCGUGCAUUCAAAGAGCGAGUCGAGUCGAGUCAUAAGUUUUGCAAGUCAAGUCUCUAUGCAAGUAAAGAAAAUCUAUACACGCAAUGCCUUGUUCAACUACAAAUAAAGGCCUUGGGACUAUAAGGUUCUAUCUGACAUUUUAGUCAGAAAUGAGUCACAUAUAAUAGAUCUUUAGAUGGUUCUUCACAUGUUUGUAAAGUUAUAUAUAUUUUUAAAUAGAUUUUAAGUGAAAAUAAUUAACAGCUAAAAAGUUCUAUCUGCAUAAACCCAUUUGAACUUGGCGCUAGAAGGUUCUCCAUCUCCCUCUAAGUAUGGUCUUGGCUAGUCUGCCAGCAAUAAUGGCACACAAGCAAAAAGAACAACUGUCAGAAUUCUUAAAGUAAAUGAUGUCACAUCGUUGUUCAGUGAUGACAGUAAUUUGUCUAAUGAUCAAAAUGCAUUUCUUAAUGUAUUUGAUGAUGUGUUCUGACUAUUUUGGUAAAACAGCGUUAUUCUACCAUUUAUGUAUGACUCUUUUUUUUAACUGAACAUGUCUAAUUCAGAAGUGUCAGACAGAACCUUAUCUGCUAUUGCACCACACUAAAAAAAAGUGUCUCAGGAUUUUGAUACUCUGCACUUUAUGUACCUUUUAAGGUGAGGACUUUAAUGGGUUAUGAAAAAAAGUAUUCACUACAAACCCCAGCGCAACUGUAGAUAGUCACUAGGCACCACUCCAAAGGACAUCUGGCUCACACCAAGGCUCGAACCCAGGACCUCUGCCUUGCUAGCAACCGUCCUCCUGAAGCAUCUUACCAGUUGAUGCUAAGCCUAAGUUCCACACAUCUCCAUGCACUACACACUGCCUUCUAAUCUAUACACUACUCUUUCAAUGUACACUGUAAACAUAGUGUCACCAAGUAGGCCCCCCCUGAGACAUUACCUCCAGUGGUGAUGGGCUCAGAAUGUGUGAGCUCCUUCAUCCGUUUGGCACAGCUCUCAUGGAGUUGAAUCCUUUCCAGCCUUGUGCGCUCAGUGUCCUGGUCCCAAAGGUGUUUGAGCGCUAGGGCCUGUGGUACCUCAGCUGUCCAGGUGUCUGUGUUUCGGUCCAGAGUCAGGAAGUCAUUCCCGUCAACCAGGAGCCGGUCAGUCAAAUGCACUACUCGAAAUCCGUCCAGUUUGCUUUCAUGCACACGCAGGUACUGGUAAGUAUGGUUUUCUGGUCUUGUCAUGGUGUUGUUGACAUUUUCUUCUAUCUCAAACGCCUGUUGAAAAGACUCGCUGUAGUUGCCCAACAAUACAGCACGGAGAAUGCCGUUGACGUCUUUCUCGCAGCUGGAGAGAGCGGCUCCGUUGAUCAAUACCUGCUCGACCUCACCGACCACUCCCGACCGCUGGAACUGAAUGACCAUGUC
This is a long non-coding RNA of Oncorhynchus tshawytscha (Chinook salmon), 3034 nucleotides long. Lineage: Eukaryota; Metazoa; Chordata; Actinopteri; Salmoniformes; Salmonidae. The record is from Ensembl.